RNAcentral lists this ribosomal RNA (471 nucleotides) under uncultured organism. RNAcentral's name for it is "partial 16S ribosomal RNA". It matches the Rfam family "Bacterial small subunit ribosomal RNA", at positions 334 to 797 of the family's 1533-position model. The record is from RNAcentral.
CACUCCUGCGGGAGGCAGCAGUGGGGAAUUUUGGACAAUGGGCGAAAGCCUGAUCCAGCCAUGCCGCGUGCAGGAUGAAGGCCUUCGGGUUGUAAACUGCUUUUGUACGGAACGAAACGGCCUUUUCUAAUAAAGAGGGCUAAUGACGGUACCGUAAGAAUAAGCACCGGCUAACUACGUGCCAGCAGCCGCGGUAAUACGUAGGGUGCAAGCGUUAAUCGGAAUUACUGGGCGUAAAGCGUGCGCAGGCGGUUAUGUAAGACAGUUGUGAAAUCCCCGGGCUCAACCUGGGAACUGCAUCUGUGACUGCAUAGCUAGAGUACGGUAGAGGGGGAUGGAAUUCCGCGUGUAGCAGUGAAAUGCGUAGAUAUGCGGAGGAACACCGAUGGCGAAGGCAAUCCCCUGGACCUGUACUGACGCUCAUGCACGAAAGCGUGGGGAGCAAACAGGAUUAGAAACCCCAGUAGUCCC